Molecule: long non-coding RNA, 659 nt
Organism: Toxotes jaculatrix (banded archerfish)
Lineage: Eukaryota; Metazoa; Chordata; Actinopteri; Toxotidae
Exons: 3
Source: RefSeq, a predicted model, not a curated record
UAUUUGUGCCUGUGGCAGGGUCUUGGUCUUUUGUUUCCUCGUGCUCCUCCUCAGCUCCACAAGAAGACUGGCAUACACACAGGCCUCAGACAGCGCCUCCCAGCACUCCUCCAUGUUCUCCUCCAUCUGCCUCCUGUCCAUUGAUCAGCCUUCCAGGGCAUCAGUCUGUUUAACAUCUGCUACAAGUUCCAGCAGCUCAGGCUUCCAGAGCUCGGAGGAACCGCUGUUGCGCAGUUUAAUUUGCUCUUUUGUAAUGAUGGGGCGUAGGUUAGUUAAUUUCAAUUUUUGAUUUCAAAAGCUAUCAAAUACAGCUCAGAUGAGAAAUCAAUUUUCCCAGCUGCCCUGGCUUUGUGGUGAAAAGGACUCCCGCCAUUGGUGAACAGCCCAUCACAUGACCGAGUCAGGGAUUAGUUCAGUAGGCCCAUGUUGCCACAACCUCAAUUACAGGCUGCCUCUUGUCAUUUACCUCUAUAACAUCUCAUUCUCAGACACAACUCAUAUUUAAUUCAUGAAAGCCUGCACAAGAGUAAUUGUAAUAUAGAUUGUUAUAGAAAAUUUGACCAAAUUUAGACCGCAAGUUUAUGCCUCGUGUGCCAGCGGCAGUGAUUGUGUCAUGUGCUGUAAUUUGGGAUAAACAAAGAUAGAAUGGUGUAUGCCUA